GGGGGGGGGGGGCUAACCAUGCAAGUCGAGCGGCAGCGGGAAAGUAGCUUGCUACUUUUGCCGGCGAGCGGCGGACGGGUGAGUAAUGCCUGGGGAUCUGCCCAGUCGAGGGGGAUAACUACUGGAAACGGUAGCUAAUACCGCAUACGCCCUACGGGGGAAAGCAGGGGACCUUCGGGCCUUGCGCGAUUGGAUGAACCCAGGUGGGAUUAGCUAGUUGGUGAGGUAAUGGCUCACCAAGGCGACGAUCCCUAGCUGGUCUGAGAGGAUGAUCAGCCACACUGGAACUGAGACACGGUCCAGACUCCUACGGGAGGCAGCAGUGGGGAAUAUUGCACAAUGGGGGAAACCCUGAUGCAGCCAUGCCGCGUGUGUGAAGAAGGCCUUCGGGUUGUAAAGCACUUUCAGCGAGGAGGAAAGGUUGGUAGCUAAUAACUGCCAGCUGUGACGUUACUCGCAGAAGAAGCACCGGCUAACUCCGUGCCAGCAGCCGCGGUAAUACGGAGGGUGCAAGCGUUAAUCGGAAUUACUGGGCGUAAAGCGCACGCAGGCGGUUGGAUAAGUUAGAUGUGAAAGCCCCGGGCUCAACCUGGGAAUUGCAUUUAAAACUGUCCAGCUAGAGUCUUGUAGAGGGGGGUAGAAUUCCAGGUGUAGCGGUGAAAUGCGUAGAGAUCUGGAGGAAUACCGGUGGCGAAGGCGGCCCCCUGGACAAAGACUGACGCUCAGGUGCGAAAGCGUGGGGAGCAGACAGGAUUAGAUACCCUGGUAGUCCACGCCGUAAACGAUGUCGAUUUGGAGGCUGUGUCCUUGAGACGUGGCUUCCGGAGCUAACGCGUUAAAUCGACCGCCUGGGGAGUACGGCCGCAAGGUUAAAACUCAUAUGAAUUGACGGGGGCCCGCACAAGCGGUGGAGCAUGUGGUUUAAUUCGAUGCAACGCGAAGAACCUUACCUGGCCUUGACAUGUCUGGAAUCCUGCAGAGAUGCGGGAGUGCCUUCGGGAAUCAGAACACAGGUGCUGCAUGGCUGUCGUCAGCUCCUGUCGUGAGAUGUUGGGUUAAGUCCCGCCACGAGCGCCACCCCCGCCCCUUGUUGCCGCACGUAAUGGUGGGGAACUCAAGGAAGACUGCCGGUGAUAACCGGAGGAAGUGGGGAUGACGUCAGUUAUCUGGCCCCUUCGC
This 1179-nucleotide ribosomal RNA is filed under the name Aeromonas veronii. RNAcentral's name for it is "bacterial SSU rRNA". It matches the Rfam family "Bacterial small subunit ribosomal RNA", at positions 38 to 1207 of the family's 1533-position model. The record is from RNAcentral. Lineage: Bacteria; Pseudomonadati; Pseudomonadota; Gammaproteobacteria; Aeromonadales; Aeromonadaceae.